AACGAGCGCUGGCGGCAUGCCUAACACAUGCAAGUCGAACGAACCCUUCGGGGUUAGUGGCGCACGGGUGCGUAACGCGUGGGAAUCUGCCCUUGGCUUCGGAAUAACAGUUAGAAAUGACUGCUAAUACCGGAUGAUGUCUUCGGACCAAAGAUUUAUCGGCCAGGGAUGAGCCCGCGUAGGAUUAGGUAGUUGGUGGGGUAAAGGCCUACCAAGCCGACGAUCCUUAGCUGGUCUGAGAGGAUGAUCAGCCACACUGGGACUGAGACACGGCCCAGACUCCUACGGGAGGCAGCAGUGGGGAAUAUUGGACAGUGGGCGCAAGCCUGAUCCAGCAAUGCCGCGUGAGUGAUGAAGACCUUAGGGUCGUAAAGCUCUUUUACCCGGGAUGAUAAUGACAGUACCGGGAGAAUAAGCUCCGGCUAACUCCGUGCCAGCAGCCGCAGUAA
This 449-nucleotide ribosomal RNA is filed under the name uncultured bacterium. RNAcentral's name for it is "partial 16S ribosomal RNA". It matches the Rfam family "Bacterial small subunit ribosomal RNA", at positions 29 to 523 of the family's 1533-position model. The record is from RNAcentral.